This 333-nucleotide long non-coding RNA is filed under the name Solanum tuberosum (potato). RNAcentral's name for it is "long non-coding RNA (STUB_LNC001692)". Lineage: Eukaryota; Viridiplantae; Streptophyta; Magnoliopsida; Solanales; Solanaceae. The record is from RNAcentral.
CUACAAUGAACCACCUUUGAUGUUGUUCCUCCUUUCCUGCUUCCUUAUCUUCAUUGAGAAACUUUUUCUUUUUUAAAUUUUCUUAACAACCUUACAUCAUAAUUCUUAUGUCUGCAUCAUCCUCUACAUCAAAAUGUUUUGAUUGUUUAUCAUGGAAAGCAACUUUAUCAUUCCCACCACUAACCUUUCUCCAACAAAGUCAUCUUAAAAACUAAAAAAUAAUAAAUCAAACAAUAAAGUUUAUACAGUUGAACCCACUAUUAACAUGAUUCUUGAACCAUCUUUUGGCAAAUAUCUUCAUCCUCGAACCCCAUCUAUGAGGGCAAAUCAGGG